UACAGAGGGUGCGAGCGUUGUUCGGAAUUAUUGGGCGUAAAGGGCGCGUAGGCGGUGCGGUAAGUCACCUGUGAAAUCUCCUGGCUCAACUGGGAGCUUGCAGGCGAAACUGCCGUGCUGGAGUGUGGGAGAGGUGCGUGGAAUUCCCGGUGUAGUGGUGGAAUGCGUAGAGAUCGGGAGGAACACCUGUGGCGAAGGCGGUGGCCUGGACCGGUGCUGACGCUGAGGCGCGAAGGCGUGGGGAGCGAUCCGG
This 253-nucleotide ribosomal RNA is filed under the name uncultured bacterium. RNAcentral describes it as "partial 16S ribosomal RNA". It matches the Rfam family "Bacterial small subunit ribosomal RNA", at positions 524 to 776 of the family's 1533-position model. The record is from RNAcentral.